UGGUGGCGACAGCCAUGAAGACCCCGGCCAGGGCCACCUCAGAACCGGCCAGGUAGAAGAUGAUCUCAUAGUUCUUCAACGCAUCCACCAGGCGGCCUGGGGAGGAGCAGGAAGAGGAGGGAGAGAUGUAAAACCCCAUGUGGAUUCUGCCAUUUGAAACCUUAAAAAUGUCACUUGCUGUCCCUGGACCUCAAUUGCUUAAAUGAUAUGUGGCUUUUGGGAUGGGGUCUUGCUGUGUUGCCCAGGCUGGUCCUGAACUCCUGAGCUCAAGGGAUCCUCCCGACUUGGCCUCUCAAAGUGCUGGGAUUACAGAGACAGGGUUUUGCCAUGUUGCCCCGGCUGGUUUCAGACUUCUGGCCUCAGCCCCCCAAAGCGCUGGGAUUACAUGCAUGAGCCACUACACCCGACCAGGAAAAUCUCUUAAUUGCAAGUAUUUCCCCCUAAAGUGUGGUUUGUCUGUGUGCUCCACCCUCUCUCUAGGUCAUUCUCCUCACCCCAUGCACCUCCUCUGCCCAUCAGAUCCAUCCAGAUUCACACAAGAAAUGGAAGACGGUUCCUUGAGGCCUGGGCAGGCUGGUUUUGUGGCCUGCCCACACACUGGCUCAGGGACUUUGCCGUUCUCACUGGGUCAGGUGGGAUGACAGAGCUCAGUGAGGGCACUUGAUUAGCCCAGCCCUGAAGGAAGGACGGGCAGCUCACCCCAUCUCAGUGCAGCCUGCGGCCCCCGCAAGGUGUCCUCCCUGGUUACUGCACCAUCUCACAGCCCUCUAGCCUCUGGGACUCAAAGGCAGGCUCCCUUGCUGUUUCAAGAUAACUUGACAACCCAGGAAAACCCUCAUGUCCCCCACUCCCACCUUUCCAAUUUUGGUUCCUGCCUUGCUUGCAUAAGGACGCUGUUCCCCCCCCAACAAGCCCUGCCCAUCCAUGCUGUGCCUUCACCUGGGGGAUAUUCCAGGAAGCCUUCCCUGACCACCCUCAUGACGAUGACUUCCUAAGGGUGACGGUGACAAGUGCCAGCAGGCCAUCUGCACAGUGAAAGACACCAGUGCUUCUCCCCAUCUGCCCGCUGAGCACCCCCACUCUGUUUCUGGCCCCAACACCAGUUUCCUAAAGAUACUGUCCCCAUUCCAGUCACCAUUCUAGAUGCACCAUUCUAAAGGCGUGGGCAUUUAGCAUCGGGUACACUGAGGCUCUCAUUCUGGGGCUGCAACUUGCGCUAAGGCUUUGUGCCUCAGUUUCCUCAUCUGCAAAAUGAGAAUAAGCACCUGCGCUUCAGAUGGCCUUGUGCCAACUGCUUGGGAUGGCAGAUCUGGCCAGCUACCAGUGUUGCUUUCUUCCCCGCACCUUCCUGGGCUUUUCUGUCCUCACCCAGAGCGGGCGGUCCGGCUUGGAGGAGGGACUAACUGGCCGUGAAGGGGAGUCCACCCACCCGACUGCCCCUUCUCCUCAUCCCUGGAAGUUCCAUCUGAGACGGGGAUGGAGCUUCCCUGGGUCUAAGGAGCACUAGGCUCGCCACCCCCUCUUCCUUCGGGGCGCACCGGCAGA
Molecule: long non-coding RNA, 1545 nt
Organism: Gorilla gorilla gorilla (western lowland gorilla)
Lineage: Eukaryota; Metazoa; Chordata; Mammalia; Primates; Hominidae
Exons: 4
Source: RefSeq, a predicted model, not a curated record